Molecule: ribosomal RNA, 253 nt
Filed under: uncultured bacterium
Lineage: Bacteria
Description: partial 16S ribosomal RNA
Rfam family: Bacterial small subunit ribosomal RNA
Source: RNAcentral
UACAGAGGCCCCAAGCGUUACUGAGAAUCACUGGGUUUAAAGGGUGCGUAGGUGGCGCCGUAAGUCAGGUGUGAAAUCUCGGAGCUCAACUCCGAAACUGCACUUGAUACUGCGGUGCUCGAGUACUGGAGAGGAGAUUGGAAUUUACGGUGUAGCAGUGAAAUGCGUAGAUAUCGUAAGGAAGACCAGUGGCGAAGGCGAAUCUCUGGACAGUUACUGACGCUGAGGCGCGAAAGCUAGGGGAGCAAACGGG